RNAcentral lists this transfer RNA (71 nucleotides) under Marmota monax (woodchuck). RNAcentral describes it as "tRNA.Cys". Lineage: Eukaryota; Metazoa; Chordata; Mammalia; Rodentia; Sciuridae. The record is from RNAcentral.
GGGGUUGUGGCUCAGUGGUAGAAGCUCACCUAGCACAUGUGAGACCCUGGGUUCGAUCCUCAGCACCACCU